This 495-nucleotide ribosomal RNA is filed under the name uncultured bacterium. RNAcentral's name for it is "partial 16S ribosomal RNA". It matches the Rfam family "Bacterial small subunit ribosomal RNA", at positions 28 to 507 of the family's 1533-position model. The record is from RNAcentral.
GAUGAACGCUGGCGGCGUGCCUAAUACAUGCAAGUAGAACGCUGAAGGAGGAGCUUGCUCUUCUGGAUGAGUUGCGAACAGGUGAGUAACGCGUAGGUAACCUGCCUGGUAGCGGGGGAUAACUAUUGGAAACGAUAGCUAAUACCGCAUGACAACAGUUAUUGCAUGAUAACUGUUUAAAAGGGGCAACUGCUCCACUACCAGAUGGACCUGCGUUGUAUUAGCUAGUUGGUGAGGUAACGGCUCACCAAGGCGACGAUACAUAGCCGACCUGAGAGGGUGAUCGGCCACACUGGGACUGAGACACGGCCCAGACUCCUACGGGAGGCAGCAGUAGGGAAUCUUCGGCAAUGGACGGAAGUCUGACCGAGCAACGCCGCGUGAGUGAAGAAGGGUGUCGGAUCGUAAAGCUCUGUUGUAAGAGAAGAACGAGUGUGAGAGUGGAAAGUUCACACUGUGACGGUAGCUUACCAGAAAGGGACGGCUAACUACGUG